GGGUUGUGAGGUUAAGCGACUAAGCGUACACGGUGGAUGCCCUGGCAGUCAGAGGCGAUGAAGGGCGUGCUAAUCUGCGAUAAGCGCCGGUAAGGUGAUAUGAACCGUUAUAACCGGCGAUACCCGAAUGGGGAAACCCAGUGUGACUCGUCACACUAUCAUUAACUGAAUCCAUAGGUUAAUGAGGCGAACCGGGGGAACUGAAACAUCUAAGUACCCCGAGGAAAAGAAAUCAACCGAGAUUCCCCCAGUAGCGGCGAGCGAACGGGGAGGAGCCCAGAGCCUGAAUCAGCAUGUGUGUUAGUGGAAGCGUCUGGAAAGUCGCGCGAUACAGGGUGACAGCCCCGUACACAAAAGCGCAUGUGUUGUGAGCUCGAUGAGUAGGGCGGGACACGUGGUAUCCUGUCUGAAUAUGGGGGGACCAUCCUCCAAGGCUAAAUACUCCUGACUGACCGAUAGUGAACCAGUACCGUGAGGGAAAGGCGAAAAGAACCCCGGCGAGGGGAGUGAAAAAGAACCUGAAACCGUGUACGUACAAGCAGUGGGAGCACCCUUUGGGGUGUGACUGCGUACCUUUUGUAUAAUGGGUCAGCGACUUAUAUUCUGUAGCAAGGUUAACCGUAUAGGGGAGCCGGAGGGAAACCGAGUCUUAAUUGGGCGUUAAGUUGCAGGGUAUAGACCCGAAACCCGGUGAUCUAGCCAUGGGCAGGUUGAAGGUUGGGUAACACUAACUGGAGGACCGAACCGACUAAUGUUGAAAAAUUAGCGGAUGACCUGUGGCUGGGGGUGAAAGGCCAAUCAAACCGGGAGAUAGCUGGUUCUCCCCGAAAGCUAUUUAGGUAGCGCCUCGUGAAUUCAUCUCCGGGGGUAGAGCACUGUUUCGGCUAGGGGGCCAUCCCGGCUUACCAACCCGAUGCAAACUGCGAAUACCGGAGAAUGUUAUCACGGGAGACACACGGCGGGUGCUAACGUCCGUCGUGAAGAGGGAAACAACCCAGACCGCCAGCUAAGGUCCCAAAGUCAUGGUUAAGUGGGAAACGAUGUGGGAAGGCCCAGACAGCCAGGAUGUUGGCUUAGAAGCAGCCAUCAUUUAAAGAAAGCGUAAUAGCUCACUGGUCGAGUCGGCCUGCGCGGAAGAUGUAACGGGGCUAAACCAUGCACCGAAGCUGCGGCAGCGACACUGUGUGUUGUUGGGUAGGGGAGCGUUCUGUAAGCCUGUGAAGGUGUGUCGUGAGGCAUGCUGGAGGUAUCAGAAGUGCGAAUGCUGACAUAAGUAACGAUAAAGCGGGUGAAAAGCCCGCUCGCCGGAAGACCAAGGGUUCCUGUCCAACGUUAAUCGGGGCAGGGUGAGUCGACCCCUAAGGCGAGGCCGAAAGGCGUAGUCGAUGGGAAACGGGUUAAUAUUCCCGUACUUGGUGUUACUGCGAAGGGGGGACGGAGAAGGCUAUGUUGGCCGGGCGACGGUUGUCCCGGUUUAAGCGUGUAGGUGUGUGUUCCAGGUAAAUCCGGUUCACUUUAACACUGAGGCGUGACGACGAGGCACUACGGUGCUGAAGCAACAAAUGCCCUGCUUCCAGGAAAAGCCUCUAAGCAUCAGGUAACAUCAAAUCGUACCCCAAACCGACACAGGUGGUCAGGUAGAGAAUACCAAGGCGCUUGAGAGAACUCGGGUGAAGGAACUAGGCAAAAUGGUGCCGUAACUUCGGGAGAAGGCACGCUGACACGUAGGUGAAGUGAUUUACUCAUGGAGCUGAAGUCAGUCGAAGAUACCAGCUGGCUGCAACUGUUUAUUAAAAACACAGCACUGUGCAAACACGAAAGUGGACGUAUACGGUGUGACGCCUGCCCGGUGCCGGAAGGUUAAUUGAUGGGGUCAGCGCAAGCGAAGCUCCUGAUCGAAGCCCCGGUAAACGGCGGCCGUAACUAUAACGGUCCUAAGGUAGCGAAAUUCCUUGUCGGGUAAGUUCCGACCUGCACGAAUGGCGUAAUGAUGGCCAGGCUGUCUCCACCCGAGACUCAGUGAAAUUGAACUCGCUGUGAAGAUGCAGUGUACCCGCGGCAAGACGGAAAGACCCCGUGAACCUUUACUAUAGCUUGACACUGAACAUUGAGCCUUGAUGUGUAGGAUAGGUGGGAGGCUUUGAAGCGUGG
RNAcentral lists this ribosomal RNA (2151 nucleotides) under Salmonella enterica. RNAcentral's name for it is "partial 23S ribosomal RNA". It matches the Rfam family "Bacterial large subunit ribosomal RNA", at positions 1 to 2167 of the family's 2925-position model. Lineage: Bacteria; Pseudomonadati; Pseudomonadota; Gammaproteobacteria; Enterobacterales; Enterobacteriaceae. The record is from RNAcentral.